CCCUUAGAUGUCCGGGGCCGCACGCGCGCUACACUGAAGGAAUCAGCGUGGCUUUCUCCCUGACCCGAAAGGGUUGGGAAACCCGUUGAAUCUCCUUCGUGAUAGGGAUUGGGGCUUGAAAUUGUUCCCCAUGAACGAGGAAUUCCCAGUAAGCGCGAGUCAUAAGCUCGCGUUGAUUACGUCCCUGCCCUUUGUACACACCGCCCGUCGCUACUACCGAUUGAACGGUUUAGUGAGGGCCUCGGAUUGGUCUCGGCCCGCUCUUUACCGGGCGGCGCCGUUGGUCGAGAAGACGCUCGAACUUGAUCGUUUAGAGGAAGGUGAAGUCGUAACA
Molecule: ribosomal RNA, 334 nt
Filed under: uncultured eukaryote
Lineage: Eukaryota
Description: partial 18S ribosomal RNA
Rfam family: Eukaryotic small subunit ribosomal RNA
Source: RNAcentral